CGGCGUCGCAAGACAGUGAAGAAAUGUGUGAAAGUGUUUGAGCCAUCAUGGGCUGUACUUCCCUCACUAACUCCAUUUUAUAGCUCAACCUUGAUUUGCUUCCUCCUGUCACAGAAACUUGACUGUCUGACAAAGAGCAGCAUGGAAUGAACACCAACAAUAACUAGGUCACCUCGAGUCCUGUUGAAGAGUGGCCCGCUCGCAAUGGAGCUGGAUGGAGCGCUUCCUCGACGGAGUCUGGGUUCCAGCUCUGGGCUGCGCUACGGUUCGUUUGUCAACAGUCUUUCUUCACUCACUCUCAAACCAGAUGAGAGGGCUUCCGUAUCGCAUCGACGGGCCUACGUGGCGGUGGUUGUGCUCUGCUACAUCAAUUUACUCAACUACAUGGAACGUUACACAAUAGCAGGUGUCCUGCUAAACAUUCAGAGCUUCUUCAACAUCAAUGACAGUACAGCUGGUCUUCUGCAGACAGUUUUUAUCUGCAGCUUUCUCAUGACGGCUCCACUCUUCGGUUACCUCGGCGACCGCUACAACCGGAUUUACAUCAUGGCUGGUGGUUUGAGUGUGUGGCUUGUAACUGCAACAGCCAGUUCUUUCGUGACUGAGUCAUACUUUUGGCUGCUGGCGCUUUUACGAGGCCUCGUCGGGAUCGGUGAGGCGAGCUACUCCACUAUUGCUCCCACCAUCAUCGGGGACCUUUUCACUGGCGUACAACGAACCAUCAUGAUCUCCGCUUUCUACAUCUUCAUCCCUGUUGGAAGUGGUCUUGGCUACAUAUCGGGGUCAUCGAUAGCCAGCCUCACUGGAGACUGGCACUGGUCUCUCAGGAUCACUCCCAUUUUUGGUCUUGCUGGGCUCAUUGCACUGGUGCUCUUGUGCCCAAACCCUCCAAGAGGUGCUGCAGAAAACAACGGUCAUGAAGUUCAAGAGCGCAGCUCUUACCUGGAGGACGUCAAGUAUCUUCUAAACAAUAAAAGUUACGUGUGGUCAACUCUGGGUGUCACGGCAAUGGCCUUCCUAACUGGAGCCCUGGCUUUCUGGAUGCCCACCUUUCUGUUCAGAGCUCGGGUGUCUCAGGGACUUAGCCAGCCUUGCUCUAAAGCGCCAUGCAGCUCCACAGACAGUUACAUCUUCGGCGCUGUCACGGUGGUCUCAGGCAUUGUCGGAGUGUGUCUCGGCACGGGUCUGUCCAGGUGCUUGAAGGAUAAAGUGCCCAAUGCAGAUCCACUCAUCUGUGCAGGGGGCAUGCUAGGAUCUGUCCCCUGCCUCUUUAUCAGCAUCUUCGUCGCUGCGGUAAACAUUCCAGCCACUUACGUCUUUACCUUCACAGCUGAAGUGUUGUUGUCACUCAACUGGUCUCUCCUGGCUGAUAUACUCCUGUAUGUUGUUGUGCCGACCAGACGAGCCACAGCAGAGGCUCUCCAGAUUACAUUCUGCCACCUUCUAGGCGAUGCCGGGAGUCCGUACCUCAUCGGAACGAUUUCUGACGCCAUUAGCAGAUCCAAGCAGUCAUCCAUCGACUGGAGCUUCCCCAGUUUGCAGUACAGCUUCCUGCUGUGCCCUUUUGUUGGCAUACUUGGAGGAAUGUUCUUCCUAAUGGCAGCUCUUUACAUCAAUAAUGACAGAAAGGCAGCGCUGCAAAUGCCUGAAGUGUUUUAGUGAUAUUAAAUAGUACCUGAAGUCGGAGGAGUGUGGCCACGGGUGUCUUGACGCCAGACUCUCUGAGGGAAGUCACGCAGCUGUAUGGACGGCGCAAGCUCCACUGAUCUCCGGCGAUCCUCCCCAGCAAGGUCCUGCAACGCAUUACUCUGUGGAGCUCAACAACGCACAAAAUACACCGAAUUCAUAAAAUAUGUAUUAACAUAAGGCGUUGCUUUCCGCCCGAAUGCAGCUGCGAUAGGCUCCAGCAGCCCCCGCGACCCCGAAAGAGACAAGCGGUAGAAAAUGAUUGGAUGGAUGGCAUUUACUAAAUAUGUAACACUGAACCAAAGCCGCUGUGUGUAUGAAAAAUGGUUUCAUUUAAAGAACAAAACUAUUAGUCUGGUUAUGGAUUAUGGUUGCUAAGAAGAAGAAGUUUUUUGCACACACACACACACACACACUGGUUAUCAUUUGGAAUGGAGACCAAGUUUUUGAUCAUCACUUUUGAGGACCACCCUUUCUACAGGUUGUGGAGGCAUGAAAAUAAAAAAAUGAGGUAAACUGGC
This is an RNA transcript of Nerophis ophidion (straightnose pipefish), 2207 nucleotides long. It is a transcript of the gene named SPNS lysolipid transporter 3, sphingosine-1-phosphate (putative), with no coding region annotated. The transcript is spliced from 14 exons. NCBI's taxonomy places the organism in Eukaryota, Metazoa, Chordata, Actinopteri, Syngnathiformes, Syngnathidae. The record is from RefSeq and is a predicted model, not a curated record.